UUGUUGGUAAGGUAAAAGCUUACCAAGGCUUCGAUCAGUAGCUGGUCUGAGAGGACGGCCAGCCACACUGGGACUGAGACACGGCCCAGACUCCUACGGGAGGCAGCAGUGGGGAAUUUUGGACAAUGGGGGCAACCCUGAUCCAGCCAUGCCGCGUGAGUGAAGAAGGCCUUCGGGUUGUAAAGCUCUUUCAGCCGGAACGAAACGGUCACGGUUAACACCCGUGACUACUGACGGUACCGGAAGAAGAAGCACCGGCUAACUACGUGCCAGCAGCCGCGGUAAUACGUAGGGUGCGAGCGUUAAUCGGAAUUACUGGGCGUAAAGCGUGCGCAGGUGGUUUUGUAAGUCAGAUGUGAAAGCCCCGGGCUCAACCUGGGAACUGCGUUUGAAACUACAAGACUAGAGUGUGGCAGAAGGGGGGUGGAAUUCCGCGUGUAGCAGUGAAAUGCGUAGAGAUGUGGAGGAACACCGAUGGCGAAGGCAGCCCCCUGGGUCAACACUGACGCUCAGGCACGAAAGCAUGGGGAGCAAACAGGAUUAGAUACCCUGGUAGUCCAUGCCCUAAACGAUGUCAACUAGUUGUCGGGCCUUUACGGGCUUGGUAACGUAGCUACGCGUGAAGUUGACCGCCUGGGGAGUACGAUCGCAAGAUUAAAACUCAAAUGAAUUGACGGGGACCCGCACAAGCGGUGGAUUAUGUGGAUUAAUUCGAUGCAACGCGAAAAACCUUACCUACCCUUGACAUGUAUCGAAGCCCGCAGAAAAGCGGGGGUGCCCGAAAGGGAACGAUAACACAGGUGCUGCAUGGCUGUCGUCAGCUCGUGUCGUGAGAUGUUGGGUUAAGUCCCGCAGCGAGCGCAACCCUUGUCAUUAAUUGCCAUCAUUUAGUUGGGCACUUUAAUGAGACUGCCGG
This 916-nucleotide ribosomal RNA is filed under the name uncultured bacterium. Its description in RNAcentral is "bacterial SSU rRNA". It matches the Rfam family "Bacterial small subunit ribosomal RNA", at positions 246 to 1155 of the family's 1533-position model. The record is from RNAcentral.